RNAcentral lists this ribosomal RNA (1341 nucleotides) under Triticum aestivum (bread wheat). RNAcentral describes it as "partial small subunit ribosomal RNA". Lineage: Eukaryota; Viridiplantae; Streptophyta; Magnoliopsida; Poales; Poaceae. The record is from RNAcentral.
AUGGUGUGCACCAUGUGUCGCGCCCUUUUGCUCCUUGGCCUCUUCCUGAUCCUGACGCCGCUGGUGUGUGGGUACACCGACGGCGGGUUCAGCGUGGAGCUCAUCCACCGGGACUCCCCCAGGUCGCCGUUCCACGACCCGUCGCUCACUCCGCACGGCCGCGUGCUUGCCGCCGUGCAGCGCUCGUACGCCGGCUCAGGCUCUCCCGACCCUGACGGCGCGGUGUCGGAGGUGAUCUCAGGCACGUUCCAGCUCUUCAUGUACGUCAACGUCGGCACGCCACGCACCCGGAUGCUGGCCCUCGUCGACACCGGCAGCGACCUCGUGUGGCUCAGAUGCACCAACGGUUCUGCUUCUCCGGCACCGCCGCCGCCAGCAGCGGCAGCAGCAGCCGGCGGGACGAGCAGCGUGUUCGACCUGUCCUCCUCGUCGACCUACGGCCUCGUGGGCUGCCAGUCCGACUCGUGCCACUCGGUCCACGGCACCUCCUGCGACGCCACCUCCUUGUGUCAGUACAGCUACUCGUACGUGGGCGGCUCAAGCAGUAGCGGCCUCGUCUCCACCGAGACCUUCACCUUCGACGACGCUCCCGGUGGCCCGCAGCUGCAAGUGCCCAGAGUCAACUUCGGCUGCGCCACCACCGCCAACUUCCCCGGUUACGGCAUCGUAGGCCUCUCGGACGGGAAAUCUUCCCUGAUCAACCAGAUGAGCGCGGCCACGUCGCUCGGCCGGAGGUUCUCCUACUGCCUCGCGCCCUACUUAAGCGACGCGUCCUCGGCGCUCAACUUCGGGUCCCGCGCCACCGUGACGGAGCCGGGCGCGGUGACCACGCCGAUGGAGGCUUCCUACACCGUCGAAAUCGUGGCCGUCAGGGUUGGGAACUCGAUCAUCAAGCUGCCGAAUUCGAAGCGGUCCCCCGUCAUCGUCGACUCCGGGUCGAUGCUGACGUCCCUCGACGGGGAGCUGCUGGACCCCAUCGUGGAGGCGCUCGCCCGGAGCAUCAAACUCCCGCGCAAGCAGUCGCCCAACCCGGAGCUGUUUUCGGUGUGCUACCAGGCGGACGGCAUGAAGGCGCUGGAGAAGGUUUUCCCGGACGUCACCUUGGAGCUGGGCGGGGGCGCCUUGGUCAAGCUCAAGGCGGAGAACGUGUUCAUGGACCUUCUGCUACGGACCGUGUGCUUGGCCAUCGUGCCGGUGAAGUAUGAGGGUUCGGUUCCGACGAUCGGCAGCGUCAUGCAGCACAACAUGCAUGUCGGCUACGACCUCGACAAGCGCACCAUCACCUUCGCCCCUGCCGACUGCGCCACCUCUUUCCCCUCUCCUCCCGCCUCUGUUGUCUAG